Molecule: ribosomal RNA, 253 nt
Filed under: uncultured bacterium
Lineage: Bacteria
Description: partial 16S ribosomal RNA
Rfam family: Bacterial small subunit ribosomal RNA
Source: RNAcentral
UACGUAGGGUCCGAGCGUUGUCCGGAAUUAUUGGGCGUAAAGAGCUCGUAGGCGGUUUGUCGCGUCUGCUGUGAAAUCCCGAGGCUCAACCUCGGGCCUGCAGUGGGUACGGGCAGACUGGAGUGCGGUAGGGGAGAAUGGAAUUCCUGGUGUAGCGGUGGAAUGCGCAGAUAUCAGGAGGAACACCGGUGGCGAAGGCGGAUCUCUGGGCCUUACCUGACGCUCAGGUGCGAAAGCUAGGGGAGCGAACAGG